This 499-nucleotide ribosomal RNA is filed under the name uncultured bacterium. Its description in RNAcentral is "partial 16S ribosomal RNA". It matches the Rfam family "Bacterial small subunit ribosomal RNA", at positions 899 to 1397 of the family's 1533-position model. The record is from RNAcentral.
ACUCAAAGGAAUAGACGGGGGCCCGCACAAGCGGUGGAACAUGUGGUUUAAUUCGACGCAACGCGAAGAACCUUACCUACCCUUGACAUGCUCGGAACCUUCUGGAGACAGGAGGGUGCCUUCGGGAACCGAGACACAGGUGCUGCAUGGCUGUCGUCAGCUCGUGUCGUGAGAUGUUGGGUUAAGUCCCGUAACGAGCGCAACCCCUAUUCUUAGUUGCCAACAGGUAAAGCUGGGAACUCUAAGGAGACUGCCGGUGACAAGCCGGAGGAAGGUGGGGAUGACGUCAAGUCCUCAUGGCCCUUACGGGUAGGGCUACACACGUGUUACAAUGGACAGUACAGAGGGAAGCGAAGCCGCGAGGUGGUGCAAAUCUCAUAAAGCUGUUCGUAGUCCGGAUUGGAGUCUGCAACUCGACUCCAUGAAGUUGGAAUCGCUAGUAAUCGCGGAUCAGAACGCCGCGGUGAAUACGUUCCCGGGCCUUGCACACACCGCCCGU